This is a long non-coding RNA of Aegilops tauschii subsp. strangulata, 945 nucleotides long. RefSeq lists it as uncharacterized. NCBI's taxonomy places the organism in Eukaryota, Viridiplantae, Streptophyta, Magnoliopsida, Poales, Poaceae. The record is from RefSeq and is a predicted model, not a curated record.
UUCCAUGGUACUUCCUUGAUAUGUUACUAAUGUUCAUAUGUGCAUGUCAUGUCGCUAAAGUUCUAACAACCUUGCUAGGUCCAAACAGGAUUGGACAUACAUAAUGAAGAUUGUUUCAAUACACCAAAAAGAACCAGUAGCCUCCCCGUGCGUGGGUCAACUUAUGAGUCCGAGUGUGAUGAUAGCCUACAAUCGUCAAUUGGCAUGCGAUUUGAUAGCUGGGAGGCAGGUUUGGCAUUCUAUAGAAUGUAUGCCCAUGAGGUUGGCUUCUCCGUAUGCAUAUGGACACAACACAAAGGAGAGGGUGGUGUAAUAAUUUGGAAGAAGUUUGUUUGCGCAAGGUUGGAGGAAGCAAAAAUCAAUGGACAUUGGCCAAGUUACUCAAGAAAUGCAGAGAAAAAAGGUUAAAAGAAAUAUCAAGAUAACCAGAUGCUGUUGUGAGGCUAUGAUCGGAUUGAAGAGGCAAGAUGACGGCAAGUAUGAGGUCGCCCAGUUUGUUCAACCACACACACACCAACUUAUCUCACCAAGUAAGAGACAUCUCAUCCGGUCAAAUAGAGAGGUAACUAGUGAUUUGAGAAACAAACUAUCUACAUGCAGUAAGGCAUUGCUUGGCACAUCAAAAACUUUUCGCUUGGUUAGUAUUGAGAAAGGUGGGCAAGGAAACAUAGCUUGCACGAAACGUGACUUACAGAACUAUGACCGUGAUUUUAAGGCAGCAAUUAAGGGAGCAGAUGGACAACUUAUAGUAGACAUAAUGGAAAAUAAAAGAAAGGCCAAUCCAGCAUUCUACUUUGAUUACUAGGUUGAUGAGAACAAUAAACUAAAAAAAUAUUUUCUGGGCAGAUAGUAUAUGUAGAAAGAACUAUUCAUUGUUUGGUGUUGUUGUGUCAUUCGACUCUACAUAUAGAUUCAACAAGUAUGACCUGGUAUUUACCCCUUUUA